CUGUGUGGCACUUGAUGCACAACUAGUUUGCACCCCUCCCGUCUCCUGUGUCGACAGCAGACAGAUCCUCCUCCAGCCUCUUUAAACUGCUUUCACCGCCACACAAACGACAUUUUGGGGGUUCGGUCUCUAGCCCUCCGUCCUCGCACCCCUCAUAUCUCUCUGUGUGUUUCGGAGGGUAUUUCUCCUCUGUCGGAGCGUUUGGAAUCGAAACGAGCAAACUGAGCUGCUAACGUUUCUUCAGUGGGCGGAUAAAGCGGAGGAGGGCAUCCGGGCCCGGCUGCUCCGGAGAGUCGGUUUGAAACGACGGAAUUCACCAUUUUCAGGCUGUGCACUGCCCUGCUAUGGAGAAGAUGAAGAGGAUUAAGAAGCGCCUGUCGUUAACACUCCGCCCCAGUCAGACCAUCGACGAGUCUCUGUCUGAACUGGCUGAGCAGAUGACCAUCGAGGACGGCGGCACCAAGGACAAUGAGCCUUUCAUGAGGAACGGCCGCCCCCCCACCUCGCACAGCAUGCACUCCUUCCUGCACCAGUACACCGGCUCCUUCAAGAAGCCCCCCCUCCGGCGGCCACACAGCGUCAUUGGUGGCACCCUGGGGUCCUUCAUGGCAAUGCCACGCAACGGCAGUCGCCUGGAUAUUGUACAUGAAAACCUGAAGAUGGGCUCAGAUGGGGAGAGCGACCAGGCAUCGGGAACGUCUUCAGACGAGGUGCAAUCUCCAACCGGCGUCUGUCUGAGGAGCCGCAUCCACCGGCGGAUCUCCAUGGAGGACCUCAACAAGCGCUUGUCUCUCCCUGCUGACAUCCGAAUUCCUGACGGUUACCUGGAGAAGCUGCAGCUCAGCAGCCCCCCCUUCGACCAGCCGCUCAGCCGACGCUCCCGCCGAGCCUCGCUGUCGGAGAUUGGUUUUGGCAAGUUGGAGACGUACAUUAAGCUCGACAAACUAGGAGAGGGAACCUACGCCACAGUAUUUAAAGGACGCAGCAAGCUGACAGACAACCUGGUGGCGCUGAAGGAGAUCCGGCUGGAGCAUGAGGAAGGAGCGCCAUGUACCGCCAUCAGAGAAGUGUCGUUACUGAAGGACCUCAAACACGCCAACAUCGUGACGUUACACGACAUCGUCCACACUGACAAGAGCCUCACGCUCGUCUUCGAGUACCUGGAUAAGGACCUGAAGCAGUACAUGGACGACUGUGGAAACAUAAUGAGCAUGCACAAUGUGAAGGUUUUCUUGUUCCAGAUUUUGCGAGGGCUGUCGUAUUGUCAUAAGAGGAAAGUUCUCCACCGGGACCUGAAGCCCCAAAACCUCCUUAUCAACGAGAGAGGAGAGCUCAAACUGGCUGAUUUCGGUCUGGCGAGGGCAAAGUCCGUCCCGACUAAAACCUACUCUAACGAGGUGGUGACUCUUUGGUACCGGCCUCCUGAUGUUCUCCUGGGAUCCUCCGAGUAUUCAACACAGAUUGACAUGUGGGGUGUUGGUUGUAUAUUCUACGAGAUGGCUGCAGGUCGGCCACUGUUCCCCGGCUCUACCGUCGAGGACGAGCUCCACCUCAUCUUCAGGUUACUGGGCACACCCACAGAGGAGAACUGGCCGGGAAUCUCAUCCAUCGAAGAGUUUAAGUCCUACAACUUCCCCAAAUACAAACCGCAACCGAUAAUCAACCACGCUCCCAGGCUGGAUGGUGAGGGCAUCGAGCUGCUGCUGGCUUUCCUCCGAUAUGAAUCCAAGAAGAGGAUUUCAGCUGAAGAGGCGAUGAAACAUUCCUACUUCAGGCCGCUCGGGAUGAGAGUUUACACACUGCCUGAGAGUGUAUCAAUAUUCACGUUAAAAGAAGUGCAGCUGCAGAGAGACCCCGGCUACAGGAGCUCUUCAUACCCAGAGUCAGUUUUAAGUUUCAAGCCUGCUUGACCCCAAACCCCUGACAUCAUCAGGGUUAUCUUUUGUUUGGGGUCAAACUGUGGAAAGUUCUCUCCAGAAGCAUCAUACAGCCCUUCACAGGCUGAGCAAGACUCCGUACAAGUAAACCGAACUUCCUGUGGAACAUUGGUGGUGCCUUUAAACUGUCUAAAAGGUAACGGCAAGAUCAACAGGAGGCAGAGCAUGCUCUUCUAAGGUCUGAUGAAGAGGAUGGCCGACUGCCCAACUUCAUCACGUCCCACCAACCUCUCGCAUGAGCCCACCUUCCCUGUGCGGAGUGACUCGCCCCGCCCCUCCCAACGCUCUUACCUGCACACACAUAAAAACACACACACACACACACACACACUCCUCUGAAUGAGUGACUCAUGGGUUGAAUCUGUUUGGAGAUUGUGUUUAUUUAUUGGGGGGUGAAAGGAUGAGGUUGAAUUUUUUGCUGCUAAACUACUACUGUCUGUAUUUAACACACCGUGUGUGCGUGUGUGUGUGUGUGUGCGUGUGUGUGUGUAUACCUGAUGUGAACUCGAGACGCCAUGCACAGUUGAGCAGUCAGUAAGGUUACUGUUGUUUUUCUUCUGACUACAAUUCUCCGGCUUCGUUUGAGUUAAAAUUCCACUGAUGUUGAUGUUGACGCUGUGACAAGUUGUUGUUCUUGUUGUCGUGCUCGGAGACCGAAUGCUUCAGUUUUUUUCACAUUUUUUUUUUAUAAAUAUAUAUAUAUAUAUAUAUAUUUGGAGUUUAUGUUUUGUUUUUCCUCGAGCUUCCGUGACUGAAGUCUACAACAUUUCCAGAUUUAGAAAGACUGGGACGCUAAAAGGUCUUGGAUGGGGAAAAAAAUAUUCCUCUGGAUUUCUCUGCAUAAUUUUUCCAAAACGUUUUAGCCAGACUGUUCUUCUAGAGGGCCUGCUGCCUCUGGGGUGGUUGCACUGAGGGUUAAAAAAAAUGGACUGCGAGGAGAUUGUGGUAACAGCUUUGGACUGUGGGUUAAAGAAGCACACACAAGAGUCCAAUCAAACUGGGCGAACAUGAGUUCUUCAGUUCUUUUGGUCAUUCUGGCUGGGACCAAAACUGAGGAGGAGGAGGGAGGCAAACAGUUGGGAAGACGAGCGAAAAGCACAGAUGAAAGAAGAGGAAUACUGGAGCUGAACAGGAAGUCACGUGAGGUCCCACAGGAAGCCAGCAAGCCUUCCCAAAAACCCUCACAAAACUGCCAGGACUUCAUUUCUUUAAAAAAAAAGAAAAUGAUGCCAGCUACACUUUCUCGCUCUUUGUGCAUUCAGAGAUCUCACUGCAGUAACUUUGUUUUUAACUUGCACUUCAGUGUGUUUUUUUGGAAUCAGGGACCCUUGGCCUCAACAAGGCCGAGUAUACCCAACAGUAUUAAGAUGUGUUCUCUGUGUCUGUGACCUUUGGCCUCUCCUUGUGAAACAACACUGUCAUUGUGGCAUGUUUUUUGGAGGGGAUCGGGGUGGGGGUAGGGGAAAUGGUUGUUUUCCACUUGGCGUCGGACCACCGCUCUCUCCAGCAUUUGUACACAAGGAAAAAAAAAAAUUUCAAAUUGAAAUGUUAGAUUUAACUGCCCGUUGUGUUGUUUGCAACUGACAGUGAUGCUACAGGUGAAGCCUGUUGAGAAUUCUCACUUUUUCCUGCGUGUUUACUGAAGCAAAUGGAAGAUCUCCUGAAAACACUUAAACACUAAAAUGUCUACUGGUGUGCUUUGCAAUCCUGGUUUAAUUUAGUUGCAGUGAGUAUUUGUCUCAUUCCUGUGGACCAACGAAGAUGUAGUCACUUCAGCACUUCAGCAGUUGUGUGAUUGCAAAAAGUGUUUCAUUCACUUUAAGGAUAAGUUUGACAAUAUGCUUACUCACUUUCUUGCAAGAGUUAGAUGCCACUCUAGCAUUGGUAGAAUGAAUAUGAAGCCAGGAGCCUGUUAGCUUAUCUUAGUAGACAAAAAUUGGGGAAACGGUUAGGCUAGCUGUUACCCCUGCCUACUAACAUCUCUAAAACUCAAAAAUUAACAUGUUAUCAUUUGUUUAAUUUGUAUAAAAGAGGAAGAGUUUUUACACUUUUUUUUGUAUGAAUUAAACAAACAAGAUGUUAUGUUGGUUAGUGAGAUUUAGAGGUGCUGUUGGGUAGAUAUUGUCACUUUCAGACAGAACCAGGAGAGCUGUUUCCCCCCUGUUGCUAGUUUUUAUGCUAACCUAACCUAACCAGCUGCUCGCUCCAGCUUAAUGUUUAUUGUACAAAAAUGACAGUGGUGUCGAUCUUCUCAUCAAACUUUCGGCAAGAAGGCAAAUAAGCCCAUUUACCAAAAUGUCAGACUGCUCCUUUAAAAUACUUUCAGAAUCAAAGGGCAAGAACUCCAGAGCUGCCAUUUUGCUCCAAAAUUCAAAAGGUCACACAGGGAAAAAUCCAUCAUGGAAAAGGCAAAGAGAGCACUUUCUACACUCACAGUAGCAAAAAAUAGAAGUGAGUGUAGUGCAUGAGCUUCUGCACUAAAUAACACUAGGAAUGCAUUGAAAAUCACAGGUUGAACACGUAAGUGUGUGAGAAGAUCUGAGGGAGAUUUUCCUGUAACUGCAGCUCUUUUGCUCAACGUCUAAAUGAAAAUGUCACAUUGUUUGACAUUUAAAGGAUUCGAGCAACACUGAAGUUCCCUGUUCCAACUAAUGCUUGAUAAACUCAAACUUAAUAUCUGAGAGAAUUAAUGUAAUAAACAUUAACUUUAUCAGUUUGCAGCUAAUAGUGUGACAUACUGUAAUUCUCAUCAUUUCAUUAGCUAUAAACCUUUGACAACAUGGAUUUAUUUCAUCAGCUCAUUAAUUGAGCUUAAAUUUAAAUUCAAUGCAUACAGUAACAUCAGAACAAAUAUAGCUGGAAGACUCCAUUAACGGUUUACAUUUCAAAUAACGUAACUAUUAUUGUGUUCACAGGAAACAAGUCAUUGUAUUAAUGGUAGACGUCCUGGACUACAUUGACCUGAUGCCACUUUUUUCUCCCUGGGUAGCUUCAAAAAGAAAACCUUUUUCUUCCCCUUACAUUUCACAUGCACUGUAUUUGCAUAUAUGGAUGCUUCACUUAAACCUUGAAAACGUUAUGUCGGCACAUUUCAGACAUGAGAAUGCAGCAUUAUUCCACUGUUAACUGCAAACUGUGUUUCUGCCAAUGGUGGCUUUUUCACAUGAACAGCAGUGACAUGCAUGAAAGGAGAUUUCUACAACAGAUAAAUAUUUAUCAUUGUAAAACUUUUUCAAGUGUAUGAAAGGCCUGAAUUUAUGUGAACAUGUUUGAACGCGUAAGUGUGUACGUGUGUCUGUGUGCCUGAUGCAUGGAAGGCCUGCUUUGUUGUGAAUUCGACCUCUGAAACACUGAGCUGCCGGUCAACAGUUGGUGUGUGACUCUUUUUACUGGAACUAUUUAUUUCUCAUAACCAUCGGAAGUAAAUUUAAUCUGUUUCAUAAACAGUCUGUGCAGCAGUCAUUCUUCGAAUGGUGAAAAGAGUAUGUAUUAUCAAUUAAAAGGAAUGUAGUAA
This is an RNA transcript of Micropterus dolomieu (smallmouth bass), 5451 nucleotides long. It is a transcript of the gene named cyclin-dependent kinase 17, with no coding region annotated. NCBI's taxonomy places the organism in Eukaryota, Metazoa, Chordata, Actinopteri, Centrarchiformes, Centrarchidae. The transcript has 18 exons. The record is from RefSeq and is a predicted model, not a curated record.